RNAcentral lists this ribosomal RNA (492 nucleotides) under uncultured bacterium. RNAcentral describes it as "partial 16S ribosomal RNA". It matches the Rfam family "Bacterial small subunit ribosomal RNA", at positions 29 to 507 of the family's 1533-position model. The record is from RNAcentral.
AGUGAACGCUGGCGGUAGGCCUAACACAUGCAAGUCGAACGGCAGCACAGUAAGAGCUUGCUCUUACGGGUGGCGAGUGGCGGACGGGUGAGGAAUACAUCGGAAUCUACUUUUUCGUGGGGGAUAACGUAGGGAAACUUACGCUAAUACCGCAUACGACCUACGGGUGAAAGCAGGGGAUCUUCGGACCUUGCGCGAUUGAAUGAGACGAUGUCGGAUUAGCUAGUUGGCGGGGUAAAGGCCCACCAAGGCGACGAUCCGUAGCUGGUCUGAGAGGAUGAUCAGCCGCACUGGAACUGAGACACGGUCCAGACUCCUACGGGAGGCAGCAGUGGGGAAUAUUGGACAAUGGGCGCAAGCCUGAUCCAGCCAUACCGCGUGGGUGAAGAAGGCCUUCGGGUUGUAAAUCCCUUUUGUUGGGAAAGAAAAGCAGCAGGUUAAUACCCCGCUGUUCUGACGGUACCCAAAGAAUAAGCACCGGCUAACUUCGUG